GCAUCUGUAGCCUAGUUGGUAAAGGCAGCACUCUAGUAUGUGUCUCAGCAUAGCUGAGGUCGUGAGUUCGACUCUCACCAGACACA
RNAcentral lists this transfer RNA (86 nucleotides) under Puccinia triticina. RNAcentral describes it as "tRNA-Thr". It matches the Rfam family "tRNA". From Rfam's summary of the family: Transfer RNA (tRNA) molecules are approximately 80 nucleotides in length. Their secondary structure includes four short double-helical elements and three loops (D, anti-codon, and T loops). Further hydrogen bonds mediate the characteristic L-shaped molecular structure. tRNAs have two regions of fundamental functional importance: the anti-codon, which is responsible for specific mRNA codon recognition, and the 3' end, to which the tRNAs corresponding amino acid is attached (by aminoacyl-tRNA synthetases). tRNAs cope with the degeneracy of the genetic code in two manners: having more than one tRNA (with a specific anti-codon) for a particular amino acid; and 'wobble' base-pairing, i.e. permitting non-standard base-pairing at the 3rd anti-codon position. RNAcentral also lists the same sequence under 1 other name. Lineage: Eukaryota; Fungi; Basidiomycota; Pucciniomycetes; Pucciniales; Pucciniaceae. The record is from RNAcentral.